This 507-nucleotide ribosomal RNA is filed under the name uncultured Pseudoxanthomonas sp. RNAcentral describes it as "bacterial SSU rRNA". It matches the Rfam family "Bacterial small subunit ribosomal RNA", at positions 523 to 1029 of the family's 1533-position model. The record is from RNAcentral. Lineage: Bacteria; Pseudomonadati; Pseudomonadota; Gammaproteobacteria; Lysobacterales; Lysobacteraceae.
AUACGAAGGGUGCAAGCGUUACUCGGAAUUACUGGGCGUAAAGCGUGCGUAGGUGGUGGUUUAAGUCUGCUGUGAAAGCCCUGGGCUCAACCUGGGAAUUGCAGUGGAUACUGGAUCACUAGAGUGUGGUAGAGGGAUGCGGAAUUUCUGGUGUAGCAGUGAAAUGCGUAGAGAUCAGAAGGAACAUCCGUGGCGAAGGCGGCAUCCUGGGCCAACACUGACACUGAGGCACGAAAGCGUGGGGAGCAAACAGGAUUAGAUACCCUGGUAGUCCACGCCCUAAACGAUGCGAACUGGAUGUUGGGUGCAACUUGGCACCCAGUAUCGAAGCUAACGCGUUAAGUUCGCCGCCUGGGGAGUACGGUCGCAAGACUGAAACUCAAAGGAAUUGACGGGGCCCGCACAAGCGGCGGAGCAUGUGGUUUAAUUCGAUGCAACGCGAAGAACCUUACCUACCCUUGACAUCCUAGGAAUCCAGUAGAGAUAUUGGAGUGCCGAAAGGAACCU